GACAUCUGUGUGAAGAAUGAUAACGCCUAUGUAAUAGGGUUGCUGUGAGAAUUAAGCUGCUUUGAAAUUAUCAGUGGAACCCAUUAGUGCAAGACUGCUUUAUCUGGUGGCUAAAAAUGACCAAGACCAAGCUCUGAGGGGCUGGGCUGCAGCAUAUUUGAAUGCUGGGGGGCUCUGCAGAGCGGUCAGAAGCUGAUGCCCCUGACUAGGGAGAUGGUGUGUUCAAGGUGCUAAACCAGAAAGACACCUGGAAGCUGACAUAGAUUUCUACAGCCAAAAAGGGAGGACUCUGCAGCUUUCUCUGGAAGCCAAUUUGUAAAAGGACAGAUUCUUGGAAUGACCACUGCCUGGUUUACCUGCUUACAACAAGCUCGGUUUGAGGAGCAGUCUGAUGACGAUCAGUAGACUUUAGUUCCUCUCUGCAUAUGGCCAACACUUCAGAGCUUCGCCUGGGAAGCCCUCAGGGUUUACUGAUUUCUCGCUGAUCCUUCGUGAAGGUCCUUAAAAGAUGACAGUGCCACUUUCACAAAAAUGUGGAAGCCGACUUCCCCUUGUAAAUACCCAGUGAUUGCCAGCAAGCAGGCCACUGCAACUGGAGGUUUCUGCGGAACACAGUUUGAAAACCCCUGCUUCACCCACCGAAGAUGAGGAAGAUGGUGUUUCCUAUACGCCUUGUGCCACCCUUGGGGCUGAUGGUGAAAACACGACCUCCUUAAUCCUCAUGACCGUCUUCUUAGGAGGGUGUUACUGACCCCAUUUUAGACGUGGGGAAAUUCCUGCUGAGGGACGUCAAGUAAAUUGCCACAAGUCACCCAGCAAGUGAGAAGUGGGACUAUGACUUGCACCCUGUCUUCUGUGGCUCGUGGUAGGCCAUGUGAGGUCUGGAGCGUCUUGGGGGCAACGCUCUCCCCCAUCAGUAAAGUCCUUGUGAAGCAUGUGCAGGGUGGCUGCCAGGAGCACGGCUGACCCCUGCGGGCCUGGGAAUGUCUAGGGAGGAAGAGCAGCUGAGCUCAGAGCUGCGCUAAAGCAGGAGGAAAGUGUAUGAGCUUCAAGAUUCUGCUUAGGUAUCAGCUCUGAGAAGUCUUCCCUAAAACCACAGGCUGGGCCCAGUGCCUCAUUCCGGCCCCAGUGGCUCUCUUAGCAUUUGCCACCUCAUUUUGAAAUUCUCUCUGUUUCUGUCUUCCACUCUGAGCCCCAGCUCCUUGAGAGCAAGGCCAUGACUCAGUCUUCCUGGGACCUCCACCCAGCACCGAGCCCAGGGCUGACAUGAGGAAGGCGCUCACUAAAUGAUAUGGAGCUGAACUGGGCUGAAGCAGGGCUGAGAGGAGCUAACUCACGGGUCCAGAAUGGGAGCACAGAGCUGCCAGAAUUGAGGGCAACCGUGGCUGCCCCAGCGAGGCGUCCAGCAGGGGCUCCAGCAGGCCCGAGGGUGAGCCAGGGAAGGCGAGGGGCAAGUGGCGGCUCUGUGUCAUGGGUCCUGGGGAACCAGUGUGCACACUGGGAGUGUUUAAAAUCCACACCCAUGUACCUGUAGUGAGUCAGACUGAGCCUCCUGGAGGCCCCUCCCGAUAAUGAAAGAGUCACCUGGGGCGCCCUGGUUCAUGAAAUCACAGAGGCCCCUGACUUAAAACUGCUUCUAAUAAAAUGCUACCAGGGUUUUCAGCUCUUGAAUGCCAAUAAAAGGGCGUCUGUGCUGCAAAAUGCACACCUGGUGUUUGAUAUCCCGUCUCUGGCUGCCUGUUAACCAGCCAGAGCCAGGCAGCGCAUCCCGACAUUGACAGGUGCAAAGACUUAUAGAAAGUGCCGCCUCCCAAGGCUUAUGAUCUGAUUACAGGGAGAAGACAAUGGACAGAACAGGAAUAGAGGAUUGGAUUCAGUUCCUUCUUCCUUCCCCUCUCUCUCACCUUUCUAUUGCUUUCUUCCCUAGAUGCCUUCCUAACUUCCUUGCUUUCCUCCUCCUACCUGUCCUCCUUCUUUUCUCAUCUCGGGUACAAAUUUUCUGUGUAGUCAUUCUCCUCAUUUCAUAGCAUACCAUCUUCACGAGUCCCUGAGUUUUUAUUGUGUUGUAUUAUAUUUAUAAUAUAUUUUGUAUGUCUUCCCUCCCCCAGAAGGGACCUAUUCUAAUGUGCUUAAUAUAUUUUCUUAGGUAACGAUGAUCCCUGAAAAAUAUUUAGGAUUAUUCUACACGUCAAGUGGUGUUAUAGGAAGUUUUCAAGAGUCAUCCAUGUGGUUCAUUCCUUUUGUUGCUGAGCAGUAUUGCAUAGAAUGAGUAAACCUACCACUAGGGCACUUCUGUCCUCCAAGAUCUGCCCCAUGGAAAGCAAUGACUAGCCCACGGGUGGCAGCCAAGAGAGAGGACAAAAAAAUGUUCAGGCGUCUCCCGGUCCUUCCACCUGUUGUUACUCGUUCACCCCUUCCCAAACCAGGCUCAAGGACUUCCCUAACUUUAUCCUCUCACCUUUGACUAGCUCUGAGCUGCUGCUGCUAUUUUUCUCACUCCCAUCUCCCCAUAAAAGUGUGAGUACCGUUGGAGAAAGAAAGGGGACAGGAGGAUAUAACUUGAAAGCUUUCCUGUAACCCAUUCCCCAAUACCAAGUGCUCUCCCACCCUAGGGUUCCCACUGCACCUGGGGCACUCUAUUUCUGUUUUCCCAAAGGUUACUUACAAUUUUUGCACUAGAGUCUGGGCAUCAUUGGCUAUCUUCUGGCUUCUGGUAUAGAGUUCCAGGGAGACAGCCAGCACAUCCACAGUGGAUGUGCCCGUCCACAAUCAUUGAAGUGAGUGAAUUUCAGAUUAAUUUUUAGCCUAGAAUCUUUUUGUUUGAAUAAAACCUGGAUUUGGAUUAUAAAUAUACAAAACAGUCAAUGGCCGCUCUGCUGGAAGUCAAGGUGGGGCUGGGUCUCUGAGUGCUGCCCCAGCGGCAGAGUUUAGAAAAGUCGAGAAAGGAAGAGGAGGCCACCCAGGCUCAGUGAGUACUGAAGUAAAAGGUGCGAGGACAGAGAGGUGUGUGAUGUGGUCAGGACGAGCAGGCCAGUUUGGCAGAACGAGGGUAAGUGAUGAAGUUGGAAAGCUGGGUUGGGGUUGGUUCAUGGGGACUUUAAUGACAACGUAGGAAUGCUGGACAGUCAGAGCAAGAAUAGAACUUACAGCUUAGCUAGUCCAGCCUGCUCUUUUACAGUUAAGGAAAGAGGCCAGGGACUGUGAGGGGCUUGCCCGGUGUCACAGUGACUUAGUGGCAGACCUGAGACUAGAAUUCUGUUCUGUUGACACUCAGACUAGUACUCAGUGAUGAUAGCAAGGUCUUCUCAUGGCAGUGCAGACUGGAAGAGGCAAAUUUUUCUGAAAUUUCUGUAUGUAGAGGAAGGAAUAUGAAAUGGUGAGAUCACGGGAAAAUGACAUCCCAUUUGGGCCUUUGCAAUCCAAUGUGUAGGAGGGGCUCCUCAGAUAAAGUAGAUUCAGCUAUUGCCUUUCCAAUAAUUCUCACACAGACUUCAAGAGGGAACAAUCAACCUGGUCACUUCCCUAUGCAGACUGCUUCCUGCCUCAAAAACAGGUGAAUAUCCAGCCUGGAAAGCACUUCAGCCUUGAAAUAUGCAAACACCCACUCAAUCUCUGGUCUCUGUUUCUCAAUGUCAGAUUUAGUUGAUUGUGCAAAGCACACAAACCUUCCACCAUUUUGAUAAUCAAUAAAUUGCUCUGGUAGAACACUUGCAAGGGGUUCUCUUGCUCUGUGUCUCUACUCUCUGACCAUUGAUUUUUUAGGUCAUAAAGAGGGAGGGAAACAGAGAAAGAGCUUAAGAAAUUAUUUUUCAUUCUCAAACUGGGAGCCAAGUAAUUUAUCCUAUUAAUUGUUCUGGAACAUUUCAUUCUGCCCUUUCUCUUCCAACACAACAACCUCUUGUCACAAAUCACUCAUUGUGAUUACACGCCAAAUUCCCAGCUUGGCCAUUAGUGUCAAAUAAUAGACUAUCAAUAGACUUAUAUUAAUUGCACAUUUAUGGGAUAGGCCAAGAAUCCUGACUGGGUCUCUGCAGGUCUGCUGUAGAAAUGAGUCUGGAGAUGGAACGGACUGUCUCUUGACUCGGAGCCAGAUAUCUGAUGGAUGACUUUAGCAGACAGUCAGCUUCUAAUCUUUGCUAGCAAAUGCAUCUCCACUAUCUACCCAUUGAUCUGAUAGCAAUGUUGAAAAAAGAACUCUCCUAAACUCAAAGUUUGAACAUUGGCUUUUUCAAAUCUUUGGACUGAUUGGAGAAAUAAAAAUGAAAUUUAUUUUGAAAGCAGCAAGUAUGAAUGGUCUGUGUGUGUACAUGUGUACUAGGUUUAUUAGAUUAAGAGAAGCAAGCAUAAACACACUUUGUUAAGAUACGCUAAUAUAUGCCCUCACCACCCACAACACACUUUUCCCCCAGUAUGAAACAUGAAAUAUAGUGUAAAUCACUCUGGAAAUGUGUGGUGGAAGGAAAAUGUACACUUAAAUGAAGAUAAUCAACACAUACUGAGUUCUAUUUUUCUAAAUGCUUGUGAAUCUUUUGCAUUUCUUCCAUAUAAUUCAGUAUCAGAGUUAAUGACAUAUCCUAGUUUCCUUUGGUACAGAAGCACCUCAAUUGCUGAAAAGUUUUGCUCCCUUCAAGACUGCUUAUCUGCUGCAAUAAUUACCAAUAAACCUCUCUGCACGAGAAAUAGCAGGGCUGAACGACUCUGUGAUGAAUAAAGAGAGUAGUCGGCUCCUCUUCAUUCAUCUUGAUAAUCUUCCUUGCUACGUAAACAGUAAGACACAUUGUCAAGAUUCAUGUUCAGGUCAAUUCUCAGCUCAACAUUGAUUGCAGAGAAAUUCUACCCAAUACACUGUUUUAUUAGAGCUGAAAGGCAACAACAGGAAAAUGGCAAAAGACCAUGGUAGUCUGAACUUGUAAGUGAAUGUGUGUGUGGGUGAGAGAGAGGAAUGGAAAGAAAGAGCAAUGGAUGUCUGUGGGAGCAGACAUAUCCAGCGGUGUGUCCAAUAAACACUCUUCUGAGAUUGGUCAACCCACUCGCUUUCAAUUGUGCUCCUCAGAAUCCGUGCUAACCUGAGGUAACAGACUCCGGGCAUAAAGAACAAUUCCAGAGCUAUGUUUCAAGGACUUCCUAUUUUAACAUCCUAAAACUUAACAAGUAUUAAAUCAACGUGACUACUGUAAGGCUACUGAAGGGCUGGGGUUAGGUAGUGACUCUAAAAAUAUCCGAGAAUUGAUAGGAUCAUAUUCCCAAACAAGUCCGGACUUCUCUCAGCUACGCCCAGUGAGAAGAAAAUCCUCAGUGUAGGAAAAUAAUUCACAGGCAGGCCCCUGGGAGACCCUGUGAUGGCUGAAACGUUUCCCUCCGGGGAUAGAUGUAAUGUGUUAAUGCUAGAGAACCAACCAGAACGGAUGAGAUCUGCCCGUCUGGUCCAAGCCCAGAGGAAACCAGACACUUCCCAAGGCUUCUUUCCCCUUAGGAUUGCAUCAGUCUCACUGUAUGGGCUUAUUUUUAAACAUUGGUUGAAAAUGCAAUAGCCCAGCUGUUCAACGUCACAACAGAAGGUCAAUUUUAUACAGUUGUUCUUCCUUGAAGAGCUUAAGUUAAGUGACCCAAAAGGCCAAUUUUUCCAACUAAUGAAGGAACUUGUUCCUGGAAAGUUGCCAUUUUGCUGUGAAACUUAUGUUUCCUCGUUUUACUAAUGCAAACGUUGAACUUUGGAAAUGUUAGUGUAUUUAAUUUUCAUAGUUUUGGGGCUUGGAUUACUAGGUAUAAGCACGUCUUUAUUAUUGUUAACAAUGAACUGAACCUGGAUAAUCCGCUGAUAAUUCCCAAAUUGCACAGAGCCCAAAUCUAGCCAACCAAAAUUCUUUUAAACAUGGUUUAAAAUCUCUUAAAAAUGGUCAGAAAUAGCAUCUCCCCUGUGAAACAGUCAAAAGAGUGGCCAUUGCAGAAUAGGACGGUGAAGAACGGAGAGACCCAACACAGAGCCGGGAGCCAGAUGCCCCUGGGUUCAAAUGCAAGCUCUGCCACUUCUUGGUUUAGCUGAGUGACCUUGCCUCAGUCUUCUGCUCUUUCAAACAGGGACGGAACUUACUCCGUAGGAUUGUUGUGAAAACUAGGUGAGUUCACGCGUAUAAAGUUUCUUAGAAAAGUGCGGCACGGUGUCUGCAGUCAGCUCAUCACAAAGUGACAGGCGCUCUUUUCGUGUUUGUUGAUCCUCACCACACUCCUGAGGGACUCACCGAGGGUGACAGCACGAGAAAGGCAGAGCACCAGUGUUUGCGGGUCGGCUCUCCUGCGCAGUCUCUGUCUAUAGCAGAUCUUUCAGUAGAAGAUCUCUUAAAUGACCUUCACUUAACUAACUUUCCAGAUCCAUCGACCCUGUAUUUACGCCGUCCGUGGGCGUGUUGAAUCCUUGCAGCUAGCAGACUGCUGCAAUACACAGACACACUUCUGCCCUCACCAGUUGAUGUGUGUGCUCACCAACAGUUGGUUGAGUUUGUUCCCAAACCUGUUUAUGACACUUGUACAUAUUAUAAUAAUUACAUAAUUUAAUUAUACACUAUGCAACCCAAUAAAAUAUUAGUGUG
This 6587-nucleotide long non-coding RNA is filed under the name Equus caballus (horse). Its description in RNAcentral is "lncRNA (ENSECAG00000046080.1)". The record is from RNAcentral. Lineage: Eukaryota; Metazoa; Chordata; Mammalia; Perissodactyla; Equidae.